CCUACGGGAGGCUGCAGUGAGGAAUAUUGGUCAAUGGACGAGAGUCUGAACCAGCCAAGUAGCGUGAAGGAUGACUGCCCUAGGGGUUGUAAACUUCUUCUAUAAAGGAAUAAAACGAGGCACGUGUGCCUGUUUGCAUGUACUUUAUGAAUAAGGAUCGGCUAAAUCCGUGCCAGCAGCCGCGGUAAUACGGAGGGACCGAGCGUUAUCCGGAUUUAUUGGGGUUAAAGGGAGCGUAGAUGGGUUGUUAAGUCAGUUGUGAAAGUUUGCGGCUCAACCGUAAAAUUGCAAUUGAUACUGGCAGUCUUGAGUACAGUUGAGGUAGGCGGAAUUCGUGGUGUAGCGGUGAAAUGCUUAGAUAUCACGAAGAACCCCGAUUGCGAAGGCAGCUUACUAAACUGUGACUGACAUUGAUGCUCGAAAGUGUGGGUAUCAAACAGGAUUAGAUACCCUUGUAGUC
Molecule: ribosomal RNA, 460 nt
Filed under: uncultured bacterium
Lineage: Bacteria
Description: partial 16S ribosomal RNA
Rfam family: Bacterial small subunit ribosomal RNA
Source: RNAcentral